GUCUUUUUGUUUAUAAAUUUAAAGUCUAACCUGCCCAUUGAAUUAUUUUAACUUAAAAGGCUGCGGUAUUUUGACCGUACAAAGGUAGCAUAAUCAUUAGUUUUUUAAUUGAAAACUUGUAUGAAUGGUUGAAUGAGAAAUUAACUUUUUUUUGUAAAAAAUUGAAAUUUACUUUUUAGUUAAAAGGCUAAAAUAUAGUUAAAAGACGAGAAGACCCUAUAGAGUUUGAUAAAUUUAUUUUUAUUAUUUAAAAAGUUAAAACUUAGUUAUUUAUUUAAGUUUAUUUUGUUGGGGUGAUAAUAAAAUUUAACUAACUUUUAUAAAUUUUUGAACAUUAAUAUAUGAUUAUUUGAUCCAGUUUUAUUGAUUAAAAAAUUAAAUUACCUUAGGGAUAACAGCGUAAUUCUUUUUUAAGUUCUUAUUAAUAAAAGAUUUUGCGACCUCGAUGUUGGAUUAAGAUUUAAUUUUAGGUGCAGUAGCUUAAAUUUUAAGUCUGUUCGACUUUUAAAUUCUU
RNAcentral lists this ribosomal RNA (514 nucleotides) under Bradysia peraffinis. Its description in RNAcentral is "partial 16S ribosomal RNA". The record is from RNAcentral. Lineage: Eukaryota; Metazoa; Arthropoda; Insecta; Diptera; Sciaridae.